CCCCGUCAAUUCAUUUGAGUUUUAGUCUUGCGACCGUACUCCCCAGGCGGUCUACUUAUCGCGUUAGCUGCGCCACUAAAGCCUCAAAGGCCCCAACGGCUAGUAGACAUCGUUUACGGCAUGGACUACCAGGGUAUCUAAUCCUGUUUGCUCCCCAUGCUUUCGCACCUCAGUGUCAGUAUUAGGCCAGAUGGCUGCCUUCGCCAUCGGUAUUCCUCCAGAUCUCUACGCAUUUCACCGCUACACCUGGAAUUCUACCAUCCUCUCCCAUACUCUAGCCAACCAGUAUCGAAUGCAAUUCCCAAGUUAAGCUCGGGGAUUUCACAUUUGACUUAAUUGGCCACCUACGCGCGCUUUACGCCCAGUAAAUCCGAUUAACGCUUGCACCCUCUGUAUUACCGCGGCUGCUGGCACAGAGUUAGUCGGUGCUUAUUCUGCGAGUAACGUCCACUAUCCAAGAGUAUUAAUCUCGGUAGCCUCCUCCUCGCUUAAAGUGCUUUACAACCAAAAGGCCUUCUUCACACACGCGGCAUGGCUGGAUCAGGGUUCCCCCCAUUGUCCAAUAUUCCCCACUGCUGCCUCCCGUAGGAGUCUGGGCCGUGUCUCAGUCCCAGUGUGGCGGAUCAUCCUCUCAGACCCGCUACAGAUCGUCGCCUUGGUAGGCCUUUACCCCACCAACUAGCUAAUCCGACUUAGGCUCAUCUAUUAGCGCAAGGCCCGAAGGUCCCCUGCUUUCUCCCGUAGGACGUAUGCGGUAUUAGCAUCCCUUUCGAGAUGUUGUCCCCCACUAAUAGGCAGAUUCCUAAGCAUUACUCACCCGUCCGCCGCUAGGUAAAGUAGCAAGCUACUCUUCCCCGCUCGACUUGCAUGUGUUAAGCCUGCCGCCAGCGU
RNAcentral lists this ribosomal RNA (891 nucleotides) under uncultured Acinetobacter sp. RNAcentral describes it as "partial 16S ribosomal RNA". The record is from RNAcentral. Lineage: Bacteria; Pseudomonadati; Pseudomonadota; Gammaproteobacteria; Moraxellales; Moraxellaceae.